RNAcentral lists this ribosomal RNA (450 nucleotides) under uncultured bacterium. RNAcentral describes it as "bacterial SSU rRNA". It matches the Rfam family "Bacterial small subunit ribosomal RNA", at positions 328 to 792 of the family's 1533-position model. The record is from RNAcentral.
AGGCCAGACUCCUACGGGAGGCAGCAGUGGGGAAUAUUGGACAAUGGGGGGAACCCUGAUCCAGCGACGCCGCGUGAGUGAAGAAGUAUUUCGGUAUGUAAAGCUCUAUCAGCAGGGAAGAAAGAAAUGACGGUACCUGACUAAGAAGCCCCGGCUAACUACGUGCCAGCAGCCGCGGUAAUACGUAGGGGGCAAGCGUUAUCCGGAUUUACUGGGUGUAAAGGGAGCGUAGACGGCGAUGCAAGUCUGAAGUGAAAGGCGGGGGCCCAACCCCCGGACUGCUUUGGAAACUGUAUAGCUGGAGUGCAGGAGAGGUAAGUGGAAUUCCUAGUGUAGCGGUGAAAUGCGUAGAUAUUAGGAGGAACACCAGUGGCGAAGGCGGCCGCCUGGCCUGUUGCUGACGCUGAGGCACGAAAGCGUGGGGAGCAAAUAGGAUUAGAUACCCCAGUA